AUUGAACGCUGGCGGCAUGCCUUACACAUGCAAGUCGAACGGCAGCACGGGAGCAAUCCUGGUGGCGAGUGGCGAACGGGUGAGUAAUACAUCGGAACGUGCCCAUUAGUGGGGAUAGCCCGGCGAAAGCCGGAUUAAUACCGCAUACGACCUACGGGUGAAAGCAGGGGAUCGCAAGACCUUGCGCUAUUGGAAGCGGCCGAUGUCAGAUUAGCUAGUUGGNGGGGUAAAAGCCUACCAAGGCGACGAUCUGUAGCUGGUCUGAGAGGACGACCAGCACACUGGGACUGAGACACGGCCCAGACUCCUACGGGAGGCAGCAGUGGGGAAUUUUGACAAUGGGCGAAAGCCUGAUCCAGCCAUGCCGCGUGCGGGAAGAAGGCCUCGGU
Molecule: ribosomal RNA, 389 nt
Filed under: uncultured bacterium
Lineage: Bacteria
Description: bacterial SSU rRNA
Rfam family: Bacterial small subunit ribosomal RNA
Source: RNAcentral